This 642-nucleotide ribosomal RNA is filed under the name Triticum aestivum (bread wheat). Its description in RNAcentral is "partial small subunit ribosomal RNA". The record is from RNAcentral. Lineage: Eukaryota; Viridiplantae; Streptophyta; Magnoliopsida; Poales; Poaceae.
AUGCAACAAGAACCAGAGGAGCAAGUCACUUAUGAUAUUGAAGAGCAACGAUUGGAAGAUCAGGCAGAGCAAGUAAAUGACGGAGAUCAGGCUAUGUUCCUUUCUGCUUUUGCCAUGGGACAACAGUUAGCCGUGCCAACUCCUACAGUAAUCAUUCAUAUCAAUGGGAAGAAAGCUGUAGCAUUGUUGGAUUCUGGUAGUACUACCUCUUUCAUAAACCAAGAUUUUGCAGUUAAGGCAAACUGCAACAUGCUGCCUGUAAAACCCAGAAAGAUUUCAGUGGCUGGUGGGGGCACACUAACAUCUACUGCAGUUGUACCUCACUGUCAGUUUCAGAUUUCCAAAGUGACACUUUCCCACAGUUUCAGAACACUGUUCCUCCCAAGCCAUGAUGCAAUCCUAGGAUAUGAUUGGUUUACUGCUGUGAGCCUUGUGUCAUUUGAUAUUCCAGCCCAGCAAUUCAGUUUCACACAUGAGGGCAAGCAAACUGUUUCAACAGCAAUGUUCACUACUGCAGCUAGUGUGAAGGAAAUGCCUGCUAAGAAAGUGGAUAAAUUAUUAGACAAAGGACCUGAAGUGUUCCUGUGUCAAAUCCACAACAUACUCUUGGAUGCACCAGAGGAUUUUAAAACUCCACCAUAA